RNAcentral lists this ribosomal RNA (420 nucleotides) under Triticum aestivum (bread wheat). RNAcentral describes it as "partial small subunit ribosomal RNA". The record is from RNAcentral. Lineage: Eukaryota; Viridiplantae; Streptophyta; Magnoliopsida; Poales; Poaceae.
AUGGCAGGCCAAGGUCGCCAGAUCUAUCACCAUUGUUGUUCUUUUGGUCAAGACGGCCGUUGUCGACGUGCUCCUCCUAAAGCUCAUCCUCACCACCAUGGCUGGACGCUAGUGAGGUUAGCCUCCCCUCCAAGCGCAGAGAUCAGGCUGGGCUUGACUAGGUUUGGAGUCAUCUUCUCGUUUAGGAUCCUCAUGCUGCUUGACAAGGGGUUCCUCGCAAUGGUCAAUAUUCUCUUCGUCUCUGGUGUUUCACUAACCAUUGGGCUGAGUCAACUGUCCAGUUCUUCACAAAGCCUAAGAAUCGCAAGGCCAUAUACAUGUAAUAUUGAAUUAGGUACUUUUUCUAUCACUGGACUACACAAGUCAAUAGAGCUAAUGUUCAUCAUUAUUUUUGGAUCGUCCAUCUUUCAGUUGGAUUAA